RNAcentral lists this ribosomal RNA (226 nucleotides) under uncultured bacterium. Its description in RNAcentral is "partial 16S ribosomal RNA". It matches the Rfam family "Bacterial small subunit ribosomal RNA", at positions 538 to 763 of the family's 1533-position model. The record is from RNAcentral.
GCGUUGUCCGGAUUUAUUGGGCGUAAAGCGAGCGCAGGCGGUUCUUUAAGUCUGAUGUGAAAGCCCCCGGCUCAACCGGGGAGGGUCAUUGGAAACUGGGGAACUUGAGUGCAGAAGAGGAGAGUGGAAUUCCAUGUGUAGCGGUGAAAUGCGUAGAUAUAUGGAGGAACACCAGUGGCGAAGGCGGCUCUCUGGUCUGUAACUGACGCUGAGGCUCGAAAGCGUG